UACAGGGGGUGCAAACGUUGCUCGGAAUCAUUGGGCGUAAAGCGCACGUAGGCGGUUCGUUAUGUCGGAUGUGAAAGCCCUUGGCUUAACCGAGGAAGUGCGUCCGAAACUGGCGAGCUAGAGUACUAAAGAGGAUCGCGGAAUUCCCGGUGUAGAGGUGAAAUUCGUAGAUAUCGGGAGGAACACCGGUGGCGAAGGCGGCGAUCUGGGUAGAUACUGACGCUGAGGUGCGAAAGCGUGGGGAGCAAACAGG
RNAcentral lists this ribosomal RNA (253 nucleotides) under uncultured bacterium. RNAcentral describes it as "partial 16S ribosomal RNA". It matches the Rfam family "Bacterial small subunit ribosomal RNA", at positions 524 to 776 of the family's 1533-position model. The record is from RNAcentral.